AGGAAUAUUGGUCAAUGGGCGCGAGCCUGAACCAGCCAAGUAGCGUGAAGGAUGAAGGUCCUACGGAUUGUAAACUUCUUUUAUAAGGGAAUAAAGUCACCCACGUGUGGGUGUUUGUAUGUACCUUAUGAAUAAGCAUCGGCUAACUCCGUGCCAGCAGCCGCGGUAAUACGGAGGAUGCGAGCGUUAUCCGGAUUUAUUGGGUUUAAAGGGAGCGUAGACGGGUCGUUAAGUCAGCUGUGAAAGUUUGGGGCUCAACCUUAAAAUUGCAGUUGAUACUGGCGUCCUUGAGUACGGUUGAGGCAGGCGGAAUUCGUGGUGUAGCGGUGAAAUGCUUAGAUAUCACGAAGAACCCCGAUUGCGAAGGCAGCCUGCUAAACCGCCACUGACGUUGAGGCUCGAAAGUGUGGGUAUCAAACAGGAUUAGAUACCCUGGUAGUCCACACGGUAAACGAUGGAUACUCGCUGUUGGCGAUAGACUGUCAGCGGCUUAGCGAAAGCGUUAAGUAUCCCACCUGGGGAGUACGCCGGCAACGGUGAAACUCAAAGGAAUUGACGGGGGCCCGCACAAGCGGAGGAACAUGUGGUUUAAUUCGAUGAUACGCGAGGAACCUUACCCGGGCUUGAAUUGCAGACGAAUUGCUUGGAAACAGGCAAGCCGCAAGGCGUCUGUGAAGGUGCUGCAUGGUUGUCGUCAGCUCGUGCCGUGAGGUGUCGGCUUAAGUGCCAUAACGAGCGCAACCCUCGUGUCCAGUUACUAGCAGGUUAUGCUGAGGACUCUGGACAGACUGCCAUCGUAAGAUGUGAGGAAGGUGGGGAUGACGUCAAAUCAGCACGGCCCUUACGUCCGGGGCUACACACGUGUUACAAUGGGGGGUACAGCAGGCAGCUACCGGGCGACCGGAUGCCAAUCCCGAAAGCCUCUCUCAGUUCGGACUGGAGUCUGCAACCCGACUCCACGAAGCUGGAUUCGCUAGUAAUCGCGCAUCAGCCACGGCGCGGUGAAUACGUUCCCG
RNAcentral lists this ribosomal RNA (1016 nucleotides) under uncultured bacterium. RNAcentral describes it as "bacterial SSU rRNA". It matches the Rfam family "Bacterial small subunit ribosomal RNA", at positions 357 to 1376 of the family's 1533-position model. The record is from RNAcentral.